AUUGAACGCUGGCGGCAGGCCUAACACAUGCAAGUCGAACGAGUGGCGGACGGGUCAGUAAUGUCCGGGAAACUGCCCGAUGGAGGGGGAUAACUACGGGAAACGGUAGCUAAUACCGCAUACCAUCAGCUGUGCCCAGAUGGGAUUAGCUGGUUGGUGGGGUAACGGCUCACCUAGGCGACGAUCCCUAGCUGGUCUGAGAGGAUGACAAGCCACCCUGGAGGUGAGACACGGUCCAGAGUCCUACGGGAGGGAGCAGUGGGUAACAUUGGGCAAUUGGCGCGAUCCUUAUGCAACCAUGGCGCGUGUAUGAAGAAGACGUUCGGGUUGUAAAGAACGUUCAGCGGGUAGACGUUACCCGCAGAAGAAGCACCGGCUAACUCCGUGCCAGCAGCCGCGGUAAUUC
RNAcentral lists this ribosomal RNA (406 nucleotides) under uncultured bacterium. RNAcentral's name for it is "partial 16S ribosomal RNA". It matches the Rfam family "Bacterial small subunit ribosomal RNA", at positions 30 to 526 of the family's 1533-position model. The record is from RNAcentral.